GAAUAUUGGACAAUGGGGGGAACCCUGCUCCAGCCAUGCCGCGUGUGUGAAGAAGGCCUUUUGGUUGUAAAGCACUUUAAGCGAGGAGGAGGCUACCUGGAUUAAUACUUUAGGUUAGUGGACGUUACUCGCAAUAUAAGCACCGGCUCACUCUUCGCCAGCAGCCGCGGUAAUACUGAGGGUGCGAGCGUUAAUCGGAUUUACUUGGCGUAAAGCGCGGGUAGGUGGCCAAUUAAGUCAAAUGUGAAGUCCCCGAGCUUAACUUGGGAAUUGCAUUCGAUACUGGUUGGCUAGAGUAUGGGAUAGGAUGGUAGAAUUCCAGGUGUAGCGGUGAAAUGCGUAGAGAUCUGGAGGAAUACCGAUGGCGAAGGCAGCCAUCUGGCCUAAUACUGACACUGAGGUGCGAAAGCAUGGGGAGCAAACAG
Molecule: ribosomal RNA, 425 nt
Filed under: uncultured bacterium
Lineage: Bacteria
Description: partial 16S ribosomal RNA
Rfam family: Bacterial small subunit ribosomal RNA
Source: RNAcentral